GGUAAUGCCGGAUGUUCCACAUGAUCGCAUGUGAUUGUGGGAAAGAUUCUAUCGGCGUGGGAUGGGGUCGCGUCCUAUCAGCUUGUUGGUGAGGUAACGGCUCACCAAGGCUUCGACGGGUAGCCGGCCUGAGAGGGCGACCGGCCACAUUGGGACUGAGAUACGGCCCAGACUCCUACGGGAGGCAGCAGUGGGGAAUAUUGCACAAUGGGCGCAAGCCUGAUGCAGCGACGCCGCGUGAGGGAUGGAGGCCUUCGGGUUGUAAACCUCUUUUGUUUGGGAGCAAGCCUUCGGGUGAGUGUACCUUUCGAAUAAGCGCCGGCUAACUACGUGCCAGCAGCCGCGGUAAUACGUAGGGCGCAAGCGUUAUCCGGAUUUAUUGGGCGUAAAGGGCUCGUAGGCGGCUCGUCGCGUCCGGUGUGAAAGUCCAUCGCUUAACGGUGGAUCUGCGCCGGGUACGGGCGGGCUGGAGUGCGGUAGGGGAGACUGGAAUUCCCGGUGUAACGGUGGAAUGUGUAGAUAUCGG
Molecule: ribosomal RNA, 526 nt
Filed under: Bifidobacterium bifidum
Lineage: Bacteria; Bacillati; Actinomycetota; Actinomycetes; Bifidobacteriales; Bifidobacteriaceae
Description: bacterial SSU rRNA
Rfam family: Bacterial small subunit ribosomal RNA
Source: RNAcentral